CUCAGAUUGAACGCUGGCGGCAGGCCUAACACAUGCAAGUCGAGCGGUAGAGAGAAGCUUGCUUCUCUUGAGAGCGGCGGACGGGUGAGUAAUGCCUAGGAAUCUGCCUGGUAGUGGGGGAUAACGUUCGGAAACGGACGCUAAUACCGCAUACGUCCUACGGGAGAAAGCAGGGGACCUUCGGGCCUUGCGCUAUCAGAUGAGCCUAGGUCGGAUUAGCUAGUUGGUGAGGUAAUGGCUCACCAAGGCAACGAUCCGUAACUGGUCUGAGAGGAUGAUCAGUCACACUGGAACUGAGACACGGUCCAGACUCCUACGGGAGGCAGCAGUGGGGAAUAUUGGACAAUGGGCGAAAGCCUGAUCCAGCCAUGCCGCGUGUGUGAAGAAGGUCUUCGGAUUGUAAAGCACUUUAAGUUGGGAGGAAGGGUUGUAGAUUAAUACUCUGCAAUUUUGACGUUACCGACAGAAUAAGCACCGGCUAACUCUGUGCCAGCAGCCGCGGUAAUACAGAGGGUGCAAGCGUUAAUCGGAAUUACUGGGCGUAAAGCGCGCGUAGGUGGUUUGUUAAGUUGGAUGUGAAAUCCCCGGGCUCAACCUGGGAACUGCAUUCAAAACUGACUGACUAGAGUGUGGUAGAGGGUGGUGGAAUUUCCUGUGUAGCGGUGAAAUGCGUAGAUAUAGGAAGGAAC
This 689-nucleotide ribosomal RNA is filed under the name Pseudomonas sp. RNAcentral's name for it is "bacterial SSU rRNA". It matches the Rfam family "Bacterial small subunit ribosomal RNA", at positions 23 to 707 of the family's 1533-position model. The record is from RNAcentral. Lineage: Bacteria; Pseudomonadati; Pseudomonadota; Gammaproteobacteria; Pseudomonadales; Pseudomonadaceae.